ACUGAGGGUAAUGCUCUAUAGAAAAGUAAAUCUGGAAUGAUUACUAUUCAAAUGGCUAAAAAAUCAUGUUUUUUUAGUGCAAAAGGAUGAGACUGCGCCAGAUUAUGGUUGUUGGUAGGGUAAUUGCCUACCAAGCCGAAGAUCUGUACGGGCCUUGAGAGAGGGAGCCCGGAGAAGGGAACUGAGAUAAUGUCCCUAGCCCUACGGGGUGCAGCAGUUACGAAACUUUUACAAUGCGGGAAACCGUGAUAAAGAGAUUCCAAGUGCUUACUUUGUAAGCUUUUAUAUAGUGUGAACAACUAUGUGAAUAAGGGGAGGGCAAUAUGCGUGCCAGCCGCCGCGGUAAUACGUAAUCCCCAAGUGGUAUCCAGCAUUAUUUGGCUUAGAGCGUGUGUAGCUGGUUUGUUAAGUCUUUUGUGAAAGCAGCUAGCUUAACUAGUUGAAUUGCAAAAGGUACUGACAUGACUAGGGACCGGAAGACGUUAAGGGUAUUUUUAGAGUAGGAGUAGAAUCUUAAGAUACUAAAAAGACCACCUGUGGCGAAGGCGCUUAACGAGUACGGCUCCGACAGUGAGAUACGAAAGCUGGGGGCGCAACCCGGAUUAGAUACCCGGUUAGUCCCAGCCGUAAACGAUGUGGAUUAGGUGUUGGGUUAAUUACGAGUUAACUCAGGGCCGAAGAGAAAUCAUUAAAUCCACCGCCUGGGAAGUAUGGUCGCAAGACUGAAACUUAAUGGAAUUGGCGGGGGUGCACUACAAGGGGUGGAUGCUGCGGUUUAUUG
RNAcentral lists this ribosomal RNA (781 nucleotides) under uncultured archaeon. Its description in RNAcentral is "bacterial SSU rRNA". It matches the Rfam family "Archaeal small subunit ribosomal RNA", at positions 139 to 907 of the family's 1478-position model. The record is from RNAcentral.